Molecule: long non-coding RNA, 647 nt
Filed under: Homo sapiens (human)
Lineage: Eukaryota; Metazoa; Chordata; Mammalia; Primates; Hominidae
Description: non-protein coding lnc-VSTM2A-4:1
Source: RNAcentral
GAGUGGUGUCAUUUACAGAAAUUGCAUGCAAGGCUGGUUCUGAUGUGCCAGGUGCUCCUUACACAUAGGUUCACAGGGCCUUAAGCCCAUCUUGAAUGUUGAUGUUCCAAGUAGAGAGGAAUUGUGACUCUACCUCUCAUGCAAAGCAACCUGCAUUUGGAGGUUAUCAAAAACUAUUCUACAUUACUUGUUAAGCUUUAUUAUUUUUUCUUUACUAUAUUGCUAUAACCAAUGUGGAAUUGCUAUUUGUGUAUGGUGUGUGAUAAAGAGCAUUUUAUAAUCAUCUAUAUAUAUAGAUAUCCAACAUGACAGCAUCAUUUAAUGAAAAAUGUCCUUUUUUUACUGCUCUGCAGUGACUUUUUUUACACAAAUCUAUAUUUAUGCAUAAUGUAAAUUUUCUUUUUUUUUUAUUAUACUUUAAGUUUUAGGGUACAUGUGCACAAUGUGCAGGUUAGUUACGUAUGUAUACAUGUGCCAUGUUGGUGUGCUGAACUCAUUAACUUGUCAUUUAAUAUUAGGUAUAUCUCCCAAUGCUAUCCCUCCCCUCUCCCCCGACCCCAGAACAGGCCCCAGUGUGUGAUGUUCCCUUUCCUGGGUCCAUGUGUUCUCAUUGUUCAGUUCCCACCUAUGAGUGAGAACAUGCAGCA